GAUGAAGAACGUAGCAAAAUGCGAUAAGUAAUGUGAAUUGCAGAAUUCAGUGAAUCAUCGAAUCUUUGAACGCACAUUGCGCCCGCCAGUAUUCUGGCGGGCAUGCCUGUUCGAGCGUCAUUUCAACCCUCAAGCUCAGCUUGGUGUUGGGACUCGCGGUAACCCGCGUUCCCCAAAUCGAUUGGCGGUCACGUCGAGCUUCCAUAGCGUAGUAAUCAUACACCUCGUUACUGGUAAUCGUCGCGGCCACGCCGUAAAACCCCAACUUCUGAAUGUUGACCUCGGAUCAGGUAGGAAUACCCGCUGAACUUAAGCAUAUCAAUAAGCGGACGA
RNAcentral lists this unclassified non-coding RNA (333 nucleotides) under soil metagenome. RNAcentral describes it as "partial contains 5.8S ribosomal RNA, internal transcribed spacer 2, and large subunit ribosomal RNA". The stretch from base 1 to 120 matches the Rfam family "5.8S ribosomal RNA", at positions 35 to 154 of the family's 154-position model. The record is from RNAcentral.